RNAcentral lists this ribosomal RNA (468 nucleotides) under uncultured bacterium. RNAcentral's name for it is "partial 16S ribosomal RNA". It matches the Rfam family "Bacterial small subunit ribosomal RNA", at positions 28 to 507 of the family's 1533-position model. The record is from RNAcentral.
GACGAACGCUGGCGGCGUGCUUAACACAUGCCAGUCGAACGGAAAGGCCCUGCUGUUGUGGGGUGCUCGAGUGGCGAACGGGUGAGUAACACGUGAGUAGCCUGCCCUUGACUUUGGGAUAACUUCAGGAAAAUGGGGCUAAUACCGGAUAGGAGCUCCUGCUGCAUGGUGGGGGUUGGAAAGUUUCGGCGGUUGGGGAUGGACUCGCGGCUUAUCAGCUUGUUGGUGGGGUAGUGGCAUACCAAGGCUUUGACGGGUAGCCGGCCUGAGAGGGUGACCGGCCACAUUGGGACUGCGAUACGGCGCAGACUGCUACGGGAGGCAGCAGUGGGGAAUAUGGCACAAUGGGCGGAAGCCUGAUGCAGCAACGCCGCGGGCGGGAUGACGGCCUUCGGGUUGUAAACCGCUUACGCCUGUGACGAAGCGUGAGUGACGGUAACGGGUAAAGAAGCACCGGCUAACUACGUG